GACGAACGCUGGCGGCGUGCUUAACACAUGCAAGUCGAACGGAAAGGCCCUGCUUUUGUGGGGGGCUCGAGUUGCGAACGGGUGGAUAACACGUGAGUAACCUGCCCGUGACUUUGGGAUAACUUCUGGAAACUUGGGCUAAUAGGGGAUAUGAGCGCCUGCUGUGCGGGGGGGGGUGGGAAGUUUCGGCGGUUGGGCUAGGGGUUGGGGCUGAUCGGCUUGUUGGUGGGGUUGUGGGUUAGCAAGGCUUUGACGGGGAGCGGGCCUGGGAGGGUGACCGGCGAUACUGGGCCUGAGCUUAGGCGCAGCAUCCUACGGGAAGAAGGAGUGGGGAGUAUUGGACAAUGGGCGGAAGCCUGAUGCAGCAACGCCGCGUGCGGGAUGAUGGCCUUCGGGUUGUAAACCGCUUUCGCCUGUGACGAAGCGUGAGUGACGGUAAUGGGUAAAGAAGCACCGGCUAACUACGUG
RNAcentral lists this ribosomal RNA (468 nucleotides) under uncultured bacterium. RNAcentral describes it as "partial 16S ribosomal RNA". It matches the Rfam family "Bacterial small subunit ribosomal RNA", at positions 28 to 507 of the family's 1533-position model. The record is from RNAcentral.